Molecule: ribosomal RNA, 787 nt
Filed under: uncultured bacterium
Lineage: Bacteria
Description: bacterial SSU rRNA
Rfam family: Bacterial small subunit ribosomal RNA
Source: RNAcentral
AGAGUUUGAUCCUGGCUCAGAAUCGACGCUGGCGGCGUGCCUAACACAUGCAAGUCGAACGAGAAAGUGGGGGCAACCCCAUGAGUAAAGUGGCAGACGGGUGAGUAACACGUGAACAACCUACCCUCGAGUGUGGAAUAACACCGCGAAAGCGGUGCUAAUACCGCAUAACAUCUCCGGGUCGCAUGAUCUGGAGAUCAAAAGCGCAAGUUGCUUGAGGAGGGGUUCGCGCCUGAUUAGCUAGUUGGUGAGGUAACGGCCCACCAAGGCUGCGAUCAGUAGCCGGCCUGAGAGGGCGAACGGCCACACUGGAACUGAGACACGGUCCAGACUCCUACGGGAGGCAGCAGUGGGGAAUUUUGCGCAAUGGGCGAAAGCCUGACGCAGCAACGCCGCGUGGAGGAUGAAGGCCUUCGGGUCGUAAACUCCUGUCAGUGGGGACGAAUGCUUCGCAAGAAGUUUGACUGUACCCGCUGAGGAAGCCACGGCUAACUCCGUGCCAGCAGCCGCGGUAAUACGGAGGUGGCAAGCGUUGUUCGGAAUUACUGGGCGUAAAGGGCGCGUAGGCGGCUUAGCAAGUCAGAUGUGAAAGCCCCGAGCUUAACUCGGGAAUUGCAUCUGAAACUGCUUUGCUUGAGUCCUGGAUGGGAUAGUGGAAUUCCCAGUGUAGCGGUGAAAUGCGUAGAUAUUGGGAGGAACACCUGCGGCGAAGGCGGCUAUCUGGACAGUGACUGACGCUGAGGCGCGAAAGCUAGGGGAGCGAACGGGAUUAGAUACCCUGGUAGUC